GGCUUGACGGGAAAAUUCAAAAUCGCGAACCGUUACAGCAUGGACUACUCGCUGUCUUUGUUUGCUUGCACAUCAACAGUAAGAGGUCAUGUACACUGUGGUCAACUUUGUGGACGCUGAAGAGGUUUCUGGGUAAAGAUGAUAGAAAUAUAAUGAAGUAACAGUGGAAGCUAAAACAUCAGACUGAUCCAGACACUGAAGAAAUUGAUGUCACUGCAAUCUGGCCAAAAUGAUACAACUAUAUUGAAGUAGCCUACUGUAAUGAAGCUGCAGAACAACACAGAGACUCUGAGGACAUCAACACAGAAAAUCAAGGCUCCAAAGAGAUGUCUGUCCAGAUGAGGGUGCAUCAACGUUACCUUUGCUGACAAGUAUAUGCUUUUAGCAGUUAACUUAACUCAAACCAUUUAAGGAAAUCGGUUGCCUUAAACCUUUAAGUUUAAAAAAAAACAUACAUUUGAGUAAUGUGAACUUAAGUCUUGUGCAGUUAUGCACUUAUAUUUAGGUAGUGUGAACUUAAACAAAUUGAGUCACAUGCAGUUAAGCACUUAUAUUUAAGUUCACAAUACUCAAAUCUAUGUGUUUUAAAACUUGAAUGGUUUAAUGCAACCGGUUUUCUUAAAUGUGAGAAAUUACAGUGUUACAGUGAGAAAUGUUUGAAUAAUUCCAAGACGGAGCUCUGUGAUUAAUUCUACACUGCAAAAAAAUCACUUUCUAACACUUUUUAUCUUGUUUUCAGUAGAAAAACUAAAAAUUCUUAAAUCGAGAUGUAUUUUCUUGAUGAGCAAAAUUACCUUAGAAAAUAUGUCUAGUUUUUAGACAAAAAUAUACAAUUUAAGAUAAUUUGUGCCUAAACAAGAAAAAAUAUCUAACAAUGGGGUGAGAAAAUUGUGUUUUAACUAAGUUUUUAAGGUAAAAGAAAACGUAAGAUUUUUUUCUCACACUAUUGGAAGAUAUUUUUGCUUGUUUU
Non-coding RNA from Misgurnus anguillicaudatus (oriental weatherfish), 970 nucleotides. Lineage: Eukaryota; Metazoa; Chordata; Actinopteri; Cypriniformes; Cobitidae. The record is from RefSeq and is a predicted model, not a curated record.